RNAcentral lists this ribosomal RNA (164 nucleotides) under Pyrola rugosa. RNAcentral describes it as "5.8S ribosomal RNA". It matches the Rfam family "5.8S ribosomal RNA". Rfam says of the family: 5.8S ribosomal RNA (5.8S rRNA) is a component of the large subunit of the eukaryotic ribosome. It is transcribed by RNA polymerase I as part of the 45S precursor that also contains 18S and 28S rRNA. Functionally, it is thought that 5.8S rRNA may be involved in ribosome translocation. Lineage: Eukaryota; Viridiplantae; Streptophyta; Magnoliopsida; Ericales; Ericaceae. The record is from RNAcentral.
UGAACGACUCUCGGCAACGGAUAUCUCGGCUCUUGCAUCGAUGAAGAACGUAGCGAAAUGCGAUACUUGGUGUGAAUUGCAAAAUCCCGUGAACCAUCGAGUCUUUGAACGCAAGUUGCGCCUGAAGCCAUUAGGCUGAAGGCACGUCUGCCUGGGCGUCACGC